RNAcentral lists this unclassified non-coding RNA (299 nucleotides) under Cercozoa sp. Its description in RNAcentral is "partial contains small subunit ribosomal RNA, internal transcribed spacer 1, and 5.8S ribosomal RNA". The stretch from base 1 to 47 matches the Rfam family "Eukaryotic small subunit ribosomal RNA", at positions 1785 to 1831 of the family's 1831-position model. The record is from RNAcentral. Lineage: Eukaryota; Cercozoa.
AAAGUCGUAACAAGGUUUCCGUAGGUGAACCUGCGGAAGGAUCAUUACAACGUAUCCACGUAUAAACCUUUGUGAACAUGUUUAACCGCAUUAUUGUAGUAUCGCAAAGCAGUUCGCAAUUCGGAAAUAAAGUGAACUGCCCGUUUCUCUCUCGCAGAGAAGGGAUGCUAUGGCAAUGUUUUUCCGUUACACUAUUAACCACUGUAACUUUCUAUGUACUUACGAAUUAAGGCGAAAGCUUUUCUUCGAAAAUAUAAGAAAUUAUAGCACAACUCUUAGCAACGGAUAUCUAGGCUCUC